UUUAACAAUUUUCCCUUGUUGAAUCUGGCCCUCUUGCUGGACCUGUUCUUUCUGCUGGCUACCAGUAUUCUGCCCCCUGGUUUUGGUAGUCAGAUUGGUUGAAUGCAUAAAUCCACUCUUCUGGCAAGGAGACCAUUUCCUUAUCCUGCAAGCCAAUUGUUUCACUUUCUUCCUCACUGUCCAUAUCCUGCUCCUCCAGUUCCAUAGCUUGAAGCAUUUAAUACAUCCAGGCACAAGACACACCUUUCUCAGCUCUUCUGUCUGAUCCAUUUGCAGCAGCCUUCUAACAAACCUCCCCUGAUUAUUAUUCUGUCCCAACUACUGCCAUUUUGCUCUCCAGCUUCAUCACUUUUCUUCUGCUCCUUGUCACAACACUAUCUGGUUCUUGGGGAGCCCCUUCUUUUACACCACCCAGGUCGUCUCCCAAUAAGUCAUCAUCCUCUAGCUCUUCAUCAUCAUCCUCAUCCACUUUGUCUCCCCCAUCAGACUCUUCCUGGUUUUGUUCCAUUCCUGUUGAUUUCCAUCACGUUAAUUUCAACUUAAGCCUGAUCAUACUGAGAGGAAAAUUAAUGUUACUGCAAGUUGACUUCAUUUCCUCAAUGAAGGCUGCAAACCAUUCAUGUUGAGCAGGCCCAUAAACAAGCACCAAGUACCACCUGAAGUUUGAGAGCCUAUUUAUGAUAUAAACCCCAGUAGAACUCCCCUUUGUUCUAACCUUCCACCUCUAGCAAAUCUUCUUUAACUCCAACCAGAAUACCCUUGGGCAGGUAGCCAGUUCCAACUGACACCUUCAGAUGUAUCUUGCAUCUUCUCCUGAUCUCCUGGAUUGAAUGCAGAGAAUUUUCUGUCAGACACCUUCAGCUCUGGCAACUUGCAUUUAUCCAGAAAUCUGAACCAUCAUUUGUGUGGACCAAAAGCUGUCCAGGAGGGGGAGUGGGAUAUGUUUUCUCCUGAGCAGUAAAACUUCAUUUGGAUCUUUGGUGUCCUUGCUUUCAGGAGUUUUCUUAUCCCCAGUCUUCAUCUUCUGAGAGUUAAGAGAAGGUUCAAAAGCUAAUGAUCUCCCUGCUUUCCUUGCUUGUUUCAGGACACUUCGGAAUUUCUGUGUCCUGUUCCUUUUCCUCUUCAAAGUCUUGCGAGGGAGAAAGGUCAGCUUUGAAUGAGCAGCUAGAAAGUAGUAACCACAAGUAGGGUGCUGUUGGAGCAGCUUGAUGUAAAGACCACACAUGAAGGAUAUCAAGAUGUAUUUUUAGCGAUGGUUCGUUGGAGCAAGCAAGCCAGGACUCAAGGUGCGAGGCUAGUGUCUUUUCAGCAUGAGGCUAGGAUGACUUUGAGAAUGAGGUUGAAGGUGCGAAGGCAUUGGAAACGUGAAGGUGUGAUUCACGGGUUGCCUGAGAUCAUGAUUCACGGGAUUGACUGAAGGCGUGAGAAGUGUGAUUCGGAAGAGAAGAUCAAGUCGCACAAGUUACCACCAAAAGACCUUUAUAUAUAGCAUAUUCCAAAAGACCUCCAAAAGACCUUUAUAUUAUAUUUUUAAAAACAAUUAAAUAAUUUCUUUAUUUUCAUGCCA
Setaria italica (foxtail millet) is the source of this 1567-nucleotide long non-coding RNA. RefSeq lists it as uncharacterized. The transcript is spliced from 3 exons. The record is from RefSeq and is a predicted model, not a curated record. NCBI's taxonomy places the organism in Eukaryota, Viridiplantae, Streptophyta, Magnoliopsida, Poales, Poaceae.